This 278-nucleotide unclassified non-coding RNA is filed under the name Glomeraceae sp. RNAcentral describes it as "partial contains 5.8S ribosomal RNA and internal transcribed spacer 2". The stretch from base 1 to 71 matches the Rfam family "5.8S ribosomal RNA", at positions 84 to 154 of the family's 154-position model. Lineage: Eukaryota; Fungi; Glomeromycota; Glomeromycetes; Glomerales; Glomeraceae. The record is from RNAcentral.
GUGAAUCAUCAAAUUUUUGAACGCAAAUUGCACUCUCUGGUAUUCCGGAAAGUAUGCCUGUUUGAGGGUCAGUUAAAUAAUAAUCGGUGUUGUUGCUGCUUUUCGUGGUGACGCGUUGGAAUUGUGUUGUCUUAACUUUGGUUAAGUGACUUAAAAUUUUGCAUGAUUUUCGAAAGUAUUUAAAUUUCUUACGUACGUUUGAGAUAUCGAAUACUUUAUUAGGUUCGGUCAUUCUCAUGAUUUGCACCUAUAAUUUUACAUUAAAUGUACUAAUAUCA